GAUGAACUCUGGCGGCGUGCCUAAUACAUGCAAGUCGAACGAAACUUCUUUAUCACCGAGUGCUUGCACUCACCGAUAAAGAGUUGAGUGGCGAACGGGUGAGUAACACGUGGGCAACCUGCCCAAAAGAGGGGGAUAACACUUGGAAACAGGUGCUAAUACCGCAUAACCAUAGUUACCGCAUGGUAACUAUGUAAAAGGUGGCUAUACUACCGCUUUUGGAUGGGCCCGCGGCGCAUUAGCUAGUUGGUAGGGUAAAGGCUUACCAAGGCAAUGAUGCGUAGCCGAAUUGAGAGGUUGAUCGGCCACAUUGGGACUGAGACACGGCCCAAACUCCUACGGGAGGCAGCAGUAGGGAAUCUUCCACAAUGGGCGAAAGCCUGAUGGAGCAACGCCGCGUGGGUGAAGAAGGUCUUCGGAUCGUAAAACCCUGUUGUUAGAGAAGAAAGUGCGUGAGAGUAACUGUUCACGUUUCGACGGUAUCUAACCAGAAAGCCACUGCUAACUACGUG
This 512-nucleotide ribosomal RNA is filed under the name uncultured bacterium. RNAcentral describes it as "partial 16S ribosomal RNA". It matches the Rfam family "Bacterial small subunit ribosomal RNA", at positions 28 to 507 of the family's 1533-position model. The record is from RNAcentral.